Molecule: ribosomal RNA, 433 nt
Filed under: uncultured Anaerovorax sp.
Lineage: Bacteria; Bacillati; Bacillota; Clostridia; Peptostreptococcales; Anaerovoracaceae
Description: partial 16S ribosomal RNA
Rfam family: Bacterial small subunit ribosomal RNA
Source: RNAcentral
ACGGGAGGCAGCAGUGGGGAAUAUUGCACAAUGGGGGAAACCCUGAUGCAGCAACGCCGCGUGAAGGAUGAAGGCCCUUGGGUUGUAAACUUCUGUCCUUGGGGAGGAUAAUGACGGUACCCUUGGAGGAAGCCCCGGCUAACUACGUGCCAGCAGCCGCGGUAAUACGUAGGGGGCAAGCGUUAUCCGGAAUUAUUGGGCGUAAAGAGUACGUAGGCGGUCUAUUAAGCGCAGGGUCUAAGGCUACGGCUCAACCGUAGUCCGCCCUGCGAACUGGCAGACUUGAGUGCAGGAGGGGAAAGCGGAAUUCCUAGUGUAGCGGUGAAAUGCGUAGAUAUUAGGAGGAACACCAGUGGCGAAGGCGGCUUUCUGGACUGUAACUGACGCUGAGGUACGAAAGUGUGGGGAGCAAACAGGAUUAGAUACCCUGGUA